GACGAACGCUGGCGGCGUGCUUAACACAUGCAAGUCGAACGGAAAGGCCUCUUUCGGGGGGUACUCGAGUGGAGAACGGGUGAGUAACACGUGAGUAACCUGCCCUUGACUUUGGGAUAACUUCAGGAAACUGGGGCUAAUACCGGAUAGGAGCUCCUGCUGCAUGGUGGGGGUUGGAAAGUUUCGGCGGUUGGGGAUGGACUCGCGGCUUAUCAGCUUGUUGGUGGGGUAGUGGCUUACCAAGGCUUUGACGGGUAGCCGGCCUGAGAGGGUGACCGGCCACAUUGGGACUGAGAUACGGCCCAGACUCCUACGGGAGGCAGCAGUGGGGAAUAUUGCACAAUGGGUGGAAGCCUGAUGCAGCAACGCCGUGUGCGGGAUGACGGCCUUCGGGUUGGAAACCGCUUUCGCUCAUGACGAAGCUUUGUGUGACGGUAGUGGGUAAAGAAGCACCGGCUAACUACGUG
RNAcentral lists this ribosomal RNA (467 nucleotides) under uncultured bacterium. Its description in RNAcentral is "partial 16S ribosomal RNA". It matches the Rfam family "Bacterial small subunit ribosomal RNA", at positions 28 to 507 of the family's 1533-position model. The record is from RNAcentral.